GAUGAACGCUGGCGGCGUGCCUAAUACAUGCAAGUCGAGCGAACAGAUGAGGAGCUUGCUCCUCUGACGUUAGCGGCGGACGGGUGAGUAACACGUGGAUAACCUACCUAUAAGACUGGGAUAACUUCGGGAAACCGGAGCUAAUACCGGAUAACAUAUUGAACCGCAUGGUUCAAUAGUGAAAGGCGGCUUUGCUGUCACUUAUAGAUGGAUCCGCGCCGCAUUAGCUAGUUGGUAAGGUAACGGCUUACCAAGGCAACGAUACGUAGCCGACCUGAGAGGGUGAUCGGCCACACUGGAACUGAGACACGGUCCAGACUCCUACGGGAGGCAGCAGUAGGGAAUCUUCCGCAAUGGGCGAAAGCCUGACGGAGCAACGCCGCGUGAGUGAUGAAGGUCUUCGGAUCGUAAAACUCUGUUAUCAGGGAAGAACAAAUGUGUAAGUAACUGUGCACGUCUUGACGGUACCUGAUCAGAAAGCCACGGCUAACUACGUG
RNAcentral lists this ribosomal RNA (497 nucleotides) under uncultured bacterium. RNAcentral describes it as "partial 16S ribosomal RNA". It matches the Rfam family "Bacterial small subunit ribosomal RNA", at positions 28 to 507 of the family's 1533-position model. The record is from RNAcentral.